RNAcentral lists this unclassified non-coding RNA (240 nucleotides) under soil metagenome. RNAcentral describes it as "partial contains 5.8S ribosomal RNA, internal transcribed spacer 2, and large subunit ribosomal RNA". The record is from RNAcentral.
AAGACUAUAGACCUGCGGAGUACCUGCGGAAGGAUCAUUACCGAGUAUCGGGUGCUCUCGCGCUCUACUCCCACCCUGUGCUUAUCUAUAACUGUUGCUUUGGCGGGCCGGUGGGUCACCCACCGCCGGGCGGCGCCUGGAGAGCGCCCGCCAGAGGACCAAGCAAAACUCUUUGUCAACAUGGUCGCAUCUGAGCACGCGAGAAUGAACAAAACUUUUAACAACGGAUCUCUAGAUCGG